Molecule: ribosomal RNA, 1168 nt
Filed under: Candidatus Melainabacteria bacterium
Lineage: Bacteria; Bacillati; Candidatus Melainabacteria
Description: bacterial SSU rRNA
Rfam family: Bacterial small subunit ribosomal RNA
Source: RNAcentral
AUUUCGCAAUGGGGGAAACCCUGACGAAGCGAUACCGCGUGGGCGAUGAAGGUCGCAAGAUUGUAAAGCCCUUUUCUGAAGGAAUAAUUCUGAAGGUACUUCAGGAAUAAGCACCGGCUAACUCCGUGCCAGCAGCCGCGGUAAUACGGAGGGUGCAAGCGUUACCCGGAAUCAUUGGGCGUAAAGCGUCCGCAGGUUGUUUGUUAAGUUGAAUAUCAAAUCUUGAAGCCCAACUUCAAGGCUGUAUUCAAAACUGGCAGACUAGAGUCUUUCAGAGGUACACGGAAUUCUGUGUGUAGGGGUAAAAUCCGUAGAUAUACAGAGGAACACCAAAAGCGAAGGCAGUGUACUGGGAAACGACUGACACUCAUGGACGAAAGCGUAGGGAGCGAACGGGAUUAGAUACCCCGGUAGUCUACGCCUUAAACUAUGGAUACUAGAUGUUAGAGGAUUCGACCCCUCUAGUGUCACAGCUAACGCAUUAAGUAUCCCGCCUGGGAAGUACGGUCGCAAGAUUAAAACUCAAAGAAAUAGACGGGGACCCACACAAGCGGUGGAGCACCUGGCUCAAUUCGAUAGUGAGCGAGGAACCUUACCUAGGUUUGACAUCUCUGGAAUUCUGCGGAAACGUGGAAGUGCCUUCGGGAACCAGAAGACAGGUGCUGCAUGGUUGUCGUCAGCUCGUGUCGUGAGAUGUUGGGUUAAGUCCCGCAACGAGCGCAACCCUUGUUGUCUGUUGCCACCCUAUAGCAAUAUAGGAGCACUCUGACAAGACUGCCCCGGUUAACGGGGAGGAAGGUGGGGACGACGUCAAAUCAUCAUGGCCCUUACGGCCAGGGCUACACACGUGUUACAAUGGGCGCCACAACGGGCUGCAACUGCGCAAGUAGAAGCGAAUCCCUUAAAAGCGCUCUCAGUUCAGAUCGUAGGCUGCAACUCGCCUACGUGAAGUCGGAAUCGCUAGUAAAUGCAGAUCAGCACGCUGCAUUGAAUACGUUCCCGGGUCUUGUACACACCGCCCGUCACACCAUGGAAGCUGGUGACGCCCGAAAUCGGUAUUUUAACCGCAAGGAGAAAGCCGCCUAAGGCAGCGCCGGUGACUGGGGUGAAGUCGUAACAAGGUAGCCGUACCGGAAGGUGCGGCUGGAUCACCUCCUUUCUAAGGAGA